This 960-nucleotide ribosomal RNA is filed under the name Didymella nigricans. RNAcentral's name for it is "eukaryotic LSU rRNA". It matches the Rfam family "Eukaryotic large subunit ribosomal RNA", at positions 68 to 1048 of the family's 3401-position model. RNAcentral also lists the same sequence under 11 other names. The record is from RNAcentral. Lineage: Eukaryota; Fungi; Ascomycota; Dothideomycetes; Pleosporales; Didymellaceae.
ACAGGGAUUGCCCUAGUAACGGCGAGUGAAGCGGCAACAGCUCAAAUUUGAAAUCUGGCGUCUUCGGCGUCCGAGUUGUAAUUUGCAGAGGGCGCUUUGGCAUUGGCAGCGGUCCAAGUUCCUUGGAACAGGACGUCACAGAGGGUGAGAAUCCCGUACGUGGUCGCUAGCCUUUACCGUGUAAAGCCCCUUCGACGAGUCGAGUUGUUUGGGAAUGCAGCUCUAAAUGGGAGGUAAAUUUCUUCUAAAGCUAAAUACUGGCCAGAGACCGAUAGCGCACAAGUAGAGUGAUCGAAAGAUGAAAAGCACUUUGGAAAGAGAGUUAAAAAGCACGUGAAAUUGUUGAAAGGGAAGCGCUUGCAGCCAGACUUGCCUGUAGUUGCUCAUCCGGGUUUCUACCCGGUGCACUCUUCUAUAGGCAGGCCAGCAUCAGUUUGGGCGGUUGGAUAAAGGUCUCUGUCAUGUACCUCUCUUCGGGGAGAACUUAUAGGGGAGACGACAUGCAACCAGCCUGGACUGAGGUCCGCGCAUCUGCUAGGAUGCUGGCGUAAUGGCUGUAAGCGGCCCGUCUUGAAACACGGACCAAGGAGUCUAACAUCUAUGCGAGUGUUUGGGUGUCAAGCCCGAGCGCGUAAUGAAAGUGAACGGAGGUGGGAACCUUUCGGGGUGCACCAUCGACCGAUCCUGAUGUCUUCGGAUGGAUUUGAGUAAGAGCAUAGCUGUUGGGACCCGAAAGAUGGUGAACUAUGCUUGAAUAGGGUGAAGCCAGAGGAAACUCUGGUGGAGGCUCGCAGCGGUUCUGACGUGCAAAUCGAUCGUCAAAUUUGGGCAUAGGGGCGAAAGACUAAUCGAACUAUCUAGUAGCUGGUUCCUGCCGAAGUUUCCCUCAGGAUAGCAGUAACGUUUUCAGUUUUAUGAGGUAAAGCGAAUGAUUAGAGGCCUGGGGGUUGAAACAACCUU